CACGUAGGGUGCGAGCGUUGUCCGGAAUUAUUGGGCGUAAAGAGCUCGUAGGCGGUGUGUCGCGUCGGCCGUGAAAACCUGCAGCUUAACUGUGGGCUUGCGGUCGAUACGGCAUCACUGGAGUUCGGCAGGGGAGACUGGAAUUCCUGGUGUAGCGGUGAAAUGCGCAGAUAUCAGGAGGAACACCUGCGGCGAAGGCGGGUUGCUGGGCUGAUACUGACGCUGAGGCGCGAAAGCCAGGGAGGCAAACGGG
Molecule: ribosomal RNA, 253 nt
Filed under: uncultured bacterium
Lineage: Bacteria
Description: partial 16S ribosomal RNA
Rfam family: Bacterial small subunit ribosomal RNA
Source: RNAcentral